CCCUUAGAUGUCCUGGGCUGCACGCGCGCUACACUGAUGUGUCCAGUAAGCACCUAACCUCUUCCGAAAGGAACGGGUAACCUUUGCAAAGCACAUCGUGAUGGGGAUAGAUUAUUGCAAUUAUUAGUCUUGAACGAGGAAUUCCUAGUAAGCACCAGUCAUCAGCUUGUGUUGAUUACGUCCCUGCCCUUUGUACACACCGCCCGUCGCUCCUACCGAUUGAAUGUUCCGGUGAGCUCUUCGGACUGCGCGGUCUGCAGUUUCUGCGUUCCGUGCGGAAAGUUGCGCAAACCUUAACAUUUAGAGGAAGGAGAAGUCGUAACA
Molecule: ribosomal RNA, 324 nt
Filed under: uncultured eukaryote
Lineage: Eukaryota
Description: partial 18S ribosomal RNA
Rfam family: Eukaryotic small subunit ribosomal RNA
Source: RNAcentral